UACGGAGGAUGCAAGCGUUAUCCGGAUUCAUUGGGUUUGAAGGGUGCGCAGGCGGAGAGAUAAGUCAGUGGUGAAAAACUGCCGCUCAACGGUAGUCUUGCCAUUGAUACUGUCUUUCUUGAGUAUGGAUGAGGUAGGCGGAAUGUGCAGUGUAGCGGUGAAAUGCAUAGAUAUUGCACGGAACACCAAUUGCGAAGGCAGCUUACUGGACCAUUACUGACGCUCAGGCACGAAAGCGUGGGGA
Molecule: ribosomal RNA, 244 nt
Filed under: uncultured prokaryote
Description: partial 16S ribosomal RNA
Rfam family: Bacterial small subunit ribosomal RNA
Source: RNAcentral